Molecule: long non-coding RNA, 286 nt
Filed under: Setaria viridis
Lineage: Eukaryota; Viridiplantae; Streptophyta; Magnoliopsida; Poales; Poaceae
Description: long non-coding RNA (SVIR_LNC002748)
Source: RNAcentral
GGGCCAAUAAACAAAUCUGUCUUGGGGAUUGAUGUUAUUACCAAGUCCUGUUGUGGACCUGAUAAAGGAGUUUUCUCAUCCAAGUCUGAAUAGUACUCGAAGUCCUUGAUCGUAUCUGUAUCGGAUUGUGAUCUAGACAGGGUAGCGUGAUAACUACUAGUCGUGUUGUGGAGUCCAAACGGGAAUUGAUUCUGGCGAUAAUCCGACUCACACGAUAGCUUAUGCGCUGGCUCAUAGAGUUUAAUUCGACCGGCGGAAAAAGUCGAGUUGUACUCGGACCCGUCCC